Molecule: long non-coding RNA, 1047 nt
Filed under: Ananas comosus (pineapple)
Lineage: Eukaryota; Viridiplantae; Streptophyta; Magnoliopsida; Poales; Bromeliaceae
Description: long non-coding RNA (ACOM_LNC009152)
Source: RNAcentral
AGAAUAAUUACUUAUAAAUAUAUUCCUCAAUACUUAUGAAAUAUUUAAUAAUUUUUUAUUUUUUUAUUUCAAAUAUAUUCCUCGUAUUUUUUUUUCGUUAUUCAAAAAUAACUCCAUUGUUAAUAUUUGGUAACCAAUCUCAGAUUAAAUCUGAAUUAAAUUUCUACUAGAGUUAAAAAAAAAUCAAAAUAUAUAUCUUUUUUACUUAUAAUUUAAGGACAAAUAAGAAAAAUUGGUGAUGGUAGAAUAGUGUACAUUUGAAUUGAAAGGGUAAAAUAGUCUAAAUAAUUCUUUUGUCCAUAAUUUAAAGAUAAAUAAGAAAAAUUGGUAAUGGUAGAAUGGUAGUUUCGAAAGCGCAAAACAGUAACUUUACAGAAAUAAUGGUUGUUCUUAGAAUUUAACUCUAGAAAUAUAUUUCAAAAAACUUGGAACAUUAAAUGAGUAUUUUUUAUAUUAGCCUUCUAAGCGGCUACGGGCUUCUUUGGUUCCUUGGAAAAUAAUAGCAAAUUAUUUUAUGAAGAAAAAAGUUUUUUAUGGAAUUUCUAGUUUCUGUAGUUUGCUUCGAUGGAAAAGAAAAUUAGCUUUUCAUGUAUGAAAGUUUAGUUGGUAAGGAAAAAAAAAACAGUAUUUAAUUUCUAUUUCACUUAUUUGGUUAGUUAAAAUGUAUGGUAUAUAAACAUCUUUUACUAAAGAAGGGUAAGAUUACCAAUCAAUUAAAAUUUAAUAUAAUAUUCAUAAACUCUUUACAAUAUAAAUAAUAAUUCUUAAAUAAAAAUAAAUUUUAAUUAUAUUUUAGGAUAGAUAAUAUAAUUUGACAAAAGCGACGGAAAUGACAGCUAGGAGAUGGAGAUGGUUAUUCUCACUGUGUGUAUGUGUAUAUAUAUAGUUUGGGGAUAUAGAGAUGACAGUGGGAGAUGGAGAUGGUUAUUGCUCAAACUAAAAAGACUCGAAAUGCAUAUAAAACCCCACAAGUCUCCACUCCCCAUGUACCUGUUUUAUCUCCAUUACUACUAUCACUAGCUUUCUCUCACUUGAUGGUGCAUAACU